This is a long non-coding RNA of Paramisgurnus dabryanus, 976 nucleotides long. RefSeq lists it as uncharacterized. The record is from RefSeq and is a predicted model, not a curated record. NCBI's taxonomy places the organism in Eukaryota, Metazoa, Chordata, Actinopteri, Cypriniformes, Cobitidae.
GCCUUUUGUAAGGAGGAGCAGCUCGAGUGCGGUGCGGUCAGUAGCCCUUCAAAUUAGAAAAGUGAGGAUGAUCUUGUCAAUGCUGAGAUUUUCAUGCAUCAACAGCCACUACAUCUGGAUCAGAUUGAACAAGAAACAGACAGCAAGGGUUGUCAGAUCAGAAACAGAAUGACACACAAACACAAGAAACUUCACAGGCAGAUCAACAUGCAAUUUGAAGACGUGUGAUAAAAUACAGAGAGGUGAAGUAGUGUGUCUUUCCAGAUCCCCAAAUCAUUCCCCCUUAAAAGAUGAGCUGAAGAGGAGAUUUGGGAAGAUGCUGUUUCAUAAGUCGCUUUGCCAGAUCACCUGUGAUGCUGUCAUCGUAUUAAGUACAGCAUGAGCCAGAAUAGAUGUGUGGUGGUGGCCAUAAGAAGACUGUCAACUAAACCAACAACAAAAUUCAUAUUUGCAGUUUUUCUUGAAUAAAGUUUUUCUAUUCAGAUUAAUAAAAUGACUUUUAAACAUGAUUUUGUUUCAUAUUUUAUGAUUUUAUUCUAUAUUUAGAAAAUUCCACUUCUGCACUACUAACUGGAAACCUAACUGUUUGAAAGAAUGUGUUUUUAUCCAUAAAAAAAUAUUUUUAACAGCUGCUUUCAUGUUUAUUUGGAAAGGGUAGGCACCUGCCAUCUUAUUUGUCCACAUUUAAACUUUACCUUCCUUAAGUGUUUAGUUUUAUGAAUGGGGUUGUACUGUAAGUUAUGCGUAGCAAGUUGCAUUCAUAUGAUAAUUGCAUUAAAAAUGACACGUUUACAGUAAAUCAUUUAGUGAGUAUUGCAGUGUAAAGUAAAAAUCUAUAUUUAGUGUUAAAAACAACAAGGAAAUAGAAGGUUGAAAUUGCGUCAUGAUAUCAACCAUAAUUCACCUAUGUUGAAAGUGUGACGUUGAAACAACGUCGUGAUUUCAACGUUGAAAUUUUUUGCAAAACCGAAAGGUA